GAACGUGCCCUUUGGUUCGCAACAACCCAGGGAAACUUGGGCUAAUACCGGAUACGCCCUUACGGGGAAAGAUUUAUCGCCGAAGGAUCGGCCCGCGUCUGAUUAGCUAGUUGGUGGGGUAACGGCCCACCAAGGCGACGAUCAGUAGCUGGUCUGAGAGGAUGAUCAGCCACACUGGGACUGAGACACGGCCCAGACUCCUACGGGAGGCAGCAGUGGGGAAUCUUGGACAAUGGGCGCAAGCCUGAUCCAGCCAUGCCGCGUGGGUGAUGAAGGCCCUAGGGUUGUAAAGCCCUUUCGGCGGGGAAGAUAAUGACGGUACCCGCAGAAGAAGCCCCGGCUAACUUCGUGCCAGCAGCCGCGGUAAUACGAAGGGGGCUAGCGUUGCUCGGAAUCACUGGGCGUAAAGCGCACGUAGGCGGAUCCUUAAGUCGGGGGUGAAAUCCUGGAGCUCAACUCCAGAACUGCCUUUGAUACUGAGGAUCUCGAGUCCGGGAGAGGUGAGUGGAACUGCGAGUGUAGAGGUGAAAUUCGUAGAUAUUCGCAAGAACACCAGUGGCGAAGGCGGCUCACUGGCCCGGUACUGACGCUGAGGUGCG
Molecule: ribosomal RNA, 599 nt
Filed under: uncultured bacterium
Lineage: Bacteria
Description: bacterial SSU rRNA
Rfam family: Bacterial small subunit ribosomal RNA
Source: RNAcentral